This 252-nucleotide ribosomal RNA is filed under the name uncultured bacterium. RNAcentral's name for it is "partial 16S ribosomal RNA". It matches the Rfam family "Bacterial small subunit ribosomal RNA", at positions 524 to 776 of the family's 1533-position model. The record is from RNAcentral.
UACGGAGGGUGCGAGCGUUGUCCGGAAUCAUUGGGCGUAAAGGGCGCGUAGGUGGCCCCUCAAGCGUGCGGUGAAAGUCAGGGGCUCAACCCCUGAUCGGCCGUGCGAACUGGGGAGCUUGAGCACUGUAGAGGCAGGCGGAAUUCCGGGUGUAGCGGUGGAAUGCGUAGAGAUCCGGAAGAACACCAGUGGCGAAGGCGGCUACCUGGGCAUUCUUGACGCUGAGGCGCGAAAGCUCGGGGAGCAAACAGG